This 253-nucleotide ribosomal RNA is filed under the name uncultured bacterium. RNAcentral's name for it is "partial 16S ribosomal RNA". It matches the Rfam family "Bacterial small subunit ribosomal RNA", at positions 524 to 776 of the family's 1533-position model. The record is from RNAcentral.
UACGUAGGGUCCGAGCGUUGUCCGGAAUUAUUGGGCGUAAAGGGUGCGUAGGCGGCGCGGUAAGUCGGGUGUGAAAUCUCGGAGCUUAACUCCGAAACUGCAUUCGAUACUGCCGUGCUUGAGGACUGGAGAGGAGACUGGAAUUUACGGUGUAGCGGUGAAAUGCGUAGAUAUCGUAAGGAAGACCAGUGGCGAAGGCGGGUCUCUGGACAGUUCCUGACGCUGAGGCACGAAGGUCAGGGGAGCAAACGGG